Molecule: ribosomal RNA, 256 nt
Filed under: uncultured bacterium
Lineage: Bacteria
Description: partial 16S ribosomal RNA
Rfam family: Bacterial small subunit ribosomal RNA
Source: RNAcentral
UACGAAGGGUGCAAGGCGUUACUCGGAAUUACUGGGCGUAAAGCGUGCGUAGGCGGUUUGUUAAGUCCGUUGUGAAAGCCCCGGGCUCAACCUGGGAAUUGCGAUGAAGACUGCAAGGCUUGAAUCUGGCAGAGGGGGGUAGACUUCCACGUGUAGCAGGUGAAAUGCGUAGAGAUGUGGAGGAACACCGAUGGCGAAGGCAGCCCCCUGGGUCAAGAUUGACGCUCGAUGCACGAAAGCGGUGGGGAGCAAACAG